This is a long non-coding RNA of Panicum virgatum (switchgrass), 1819 nucleotides long. RefSeq lists it as uncharacterized. NCBI's taxonomy places the organism in Eukaryota, Viridiplantae, Streptophyta, Magnoliopsida, Poales, Poaceae. The transcript is spliced from 2 exons. The record is from RefSeq and is a predicted model, not a curated record.
UUAAUGCGUCGUCUAUAACCGGUUUAUUGUGUUAACCAAAGCUCAUUAAUCACGUUUUGGAGCGGAACCGUGCGGUGCCGUCGUCUCGCGAGGCGACGGCACCGGCCCGUGCUCCCAGGUCUUACCGACGGGAGCUCACGCGUUGUGUGCAUCGUUCCCACUCAGCAACGCCUUCGACGGAUCGAGUGUGGGCGACCUUGUUUUGGCGCGUGAUUCCAGCCAAGGCGGCAAAAUCACCCAACGAGCGCUACCGUUUUCCCCGUAAAACUCCAUCCCUCUACCUCACAAAUUGUUGAAGCAGCAACUGACGGGCCAUGACUAAGGAGAAUCACGAGGCUGCAGCGAUGCCGGAUCUGCUAGCUGCAGCGGUGGCGCUGGGCCAGAAGGCCGGCCGCCAUGGCGGCGCAGGACUGGAUUCAGCUACAACUACCUCCCUAUUGGAGCCAUGGCGUCCUUCUCCGAGGGGAUUCAGCCUGCGCCGGUGCCUAAGCUUCAGCGGCAGUGCAACCAUCUCCCCCACACAAGUCCAUGGGGCCCUUCAACCAGCGACAAACUCUGCUGCUUGGUGCCAAGACAGUGGUGAUAGCCCGGUGCCUGAUCCAUGUAUGAAACCUCCAUCUUUAGAUCUGGGAGAUUGGUAAUAAUUUUGUCUGUGUUUUCUCUAAGAAAUUUUGUGUUUCAGCCUCUCAAUUGCAAUGAAAUGAACUGUCUUGGUCAUUCCAAAUGCAAUGAAAUUAACUUGAUUGUUAGCUGUCCAUUGAACCACCUGUUUUCUUUGUCUUGCAGAUUAUAAUUGAUUUGUGUGUUUGGAUGCAACCAGAGCCUUAUAAAAUUGAUAUGCAUUUUUAUAAGUGCACAUUGUAUCUAAAUCUGUUGCUCUGUGGUCAAUUAUGUAUCUAUAGCUUGACAGAUACAAACUUGUUACAAUAGAACUUGCCUAUCUAUGAUAGUUACUAAAUUUAUCUUGUAUUGUUGUGCCAUAGUGAUGACAAAAUGUAGUUAACUGAUAUCUAUGUACAUCUACUGAGUUCACGGUUCUAUGAUUACAAUUGUUUUUUAAUCUAGGCACAACCUGGGCAUUUUUGUUCUGCAUUUUUUCUUGCUACUCUGCUAGCCACUCCACUCAGGAAUGAUUGAGAAGUUGAUUGAUGAAGGCGUGGGUGAGUGACUUGUUGUCAUGUGAUGCAAAACCUACUAAAUUAUUCAACUAGCAAACUGAGAUGAAAUUAUAGUUGGUCUGACAAUAAUUUGUGGAUAGCUGCAACCUUACUACAAGUUAAUGAUCAAUUAUAUUUGUGGAAUGGUUCCUAUACAAUGUUACUGUUUUUUAUUUCUCUACUCGGGAUGAAAUCUGGUUAUCUGGACAUUGGUGAGCUUGUGCACAUAUUAUCUUAUCAAGGUAGGCAGAACAUUGUCACUGCUCUGGAUGUAGCAAUGCCCGACCCUUCUUUGACAGAAGGAAAAGAUCUGCAGAACAUACAGAAAAGCUUGCGUGCUCUGACCCCUGAAAUUAGUGAUGAAGAUGAAGACCCGUAUGCUGUUGAAUCGUGGAUGGUUCAUGGAGCUCUGGACAUGGCAAAGCAUCUGGCCAAAAAAUGUUGCGCCCGUUCUACCCUGAUAUGCAUCUAACGUCAGAUUUUUAUUACAUACACCAUCUCUGCCAGUGUAUCAGAGGAUUAACUAUAUUUUGGUAUGCGGAAAUUAUGUAGCUGCCUGAGAUGUCUUCUUGCGAUGAAAAGAUUCAUAUCCCCAAAGCAUACUUUCAUAUAUGCAAUAAAAUAGUACACAAAGAUCAAUUGUAUGAUUGAUCACCAUGUUU